AGGGCGCCCCGGAUGGGGCCGCAGGCAUCCUGGCGCAAGGCCGUCUGGAGGCCCGGCCCGGCUUUGGGAAGGGCCCGGGCCUCCAGUACUGGGCCUGAAACGGGCCCGCGAGGGCAGCCUCGGGAACUGGCCACGUCAGGGCGGCGCGCCCCAGCCCCAACCCUGUCCCAAGGGUCAGAUUUGAGCAGGCGGCCUGGGCGCGGCCGCGCGGUGAGAAGCGAGGGAGGGAGCGGGCGCAGGAAGCCCAGGGAGGGCUGACUCAUCCUCCAGCCGCCGCGCAAUACCACAGUGCAAGUCAGACAUCUCCGGAAUGGAAUCCUACUUCCAAGCUUGUGGCCCAGAGCUCUUCCUCAGUGAAAUGGGAUAUCUUGCAAGGGAGGGUGCCUAUUUGCAGCCUGCUGUCAUGUAUCAAUCACUUCUCUGCUCAUUUAUUUAUUCCUAUCACAUGUUAUUAGGUCAACUUAAGAUUGUAAUGUGAUUCUAUUGUAAACAAUGCAUUUAACAAUAAUGUUUUCAUGUAUCAGUUAAAAAUAAACACAGAAAUG
Long non-coding RNA from Marmota monax (woodchuck), 545 nucleotides. RefSeq lists it as uncharacterized. NCBI's taxonomy places the organism in Eukaryota, Metazoa, Chordata, Mammalia, Rodentia, Sciuridae. The transcript is spliced from 3 exons. The record is from RefSeq and is a predicted model, not a curated record.